AUACUUACCUGACGCGAGAGGCACCUUGAUCAACUAGGAGGUCCUCUCAGGAUGAGGCCCUUUCAUUGCACUUCGACUGGGUUGACUCCUACGAUUACCCCUAAUGUGGGUAACUCGAGCGUAUAAUUUCUGGUAGUGGGGACCUGCGUUCGCGCUCGUCCCCU
RNAcentral lists this small nuclear RNA (164 nucleotides) under Paramuricea clavata. RNAcentral describes it as "U1 spliceosomal RNA". It matches the Rfam family "U1 spliceosomal RNA". Rfam says of the family: U1 is a small nuclear RNA (snRNA) component of the spliceosome (involved in pre-mRNA splicing). Its 5' end forms complementary base pairs with the 5' splice junction, thus defining the 5' donor site of an intron. There are significant differences in sequence and secondary structure between metazoan and yeast U1 snRNAs, the latter being much longer (568 nucleotides as compared to 164 nucleotides in human). The record is from Rfam by way of RNAcentral. Lineage: Eukaryota; Metazoa; Cnidaria; Anthozoa; Malacalcyonacea; Plexauridae.